CGGUGGAGAUGUGGUUUAAUUCGAUGCAACGCGAAAAACCUUACCCACCUUUGACAUGUACGGAAUCCUUUAGAGAUAGAGGAGUGCUCGAAAGAGAACCGUAACACAGGUGCUGCAUGGCUGUCGUCAGCUCGUGUCGUGAGAUGUUGGGUUAAGUCCCGCAACGAGCGCAACCCUUGUCAUUAGUUGCUACAUUUAGUUGGGCACUCUAAUGAGACUGCCGGUGACAAACCGGAGGAAGGUGGGGAUGACGUCAAGUCCUCAUGGCCCUUAUAGGUGGGGCUACACACGUCAUACAAUGGCUGGUACAGAGGGUUGCCAACCCGCGAGGGGGAGCCAAUCCCAUAAAGCCAGUCGUAGUCCGGAUCGCAGUCUGCAACUCGACUGCGUGAAGUCGGAAUCGCUAGUAAUCGCGGAUCAGAAUGUCGCGGUGAAUACGUUCCCGGGUCUUGUACACACCGCCCGUCACACCAUGGGAGCGGGUUCUGCCAGAAGUAGGUAGCCUAACCGUAAGGAGGGCGCUUACCACGGCAGGGUUCGUGACUGGGGUGAAGUCCUAACAA
RNAcentral lists this ribosomal RNA (563 nucleotides) under Acidovorax facilis. RNAcentral describes it as "bacterial SSU rRNA". It matches the Rfam family "Bacterial small subunit ribosomal RNA", at positions 930 to 1494 of the family's 1533-position model. The record is from RNAcentral. Lineage: Bacteria; Pseudomonadati; Pseudomonadota; Betaproteobacteria; Burkholderiales; Comamonadaceae.